GCUGUCACUGUAGAAGUUCGGUUGUGUGUGUAAAAAAACGUAAACAGUGUUGUUUGCUGAUCAAUUUUGGUAAGUUUUUUAAUAAUUAAGUUCUUAAUUUUACGUAAGUAAGUGUAAUUUUAGCAAAAGUAAGUAGUUGAAGUCCUCCCCAAUGCGUGCUGGCUCCGUCGGAAGCGUUACGUACAUGUACCGGCGUAGGAAAGUGGUGUGGUGAACAACACAGCACAAGACAGCGGAUAUAAUGCAGGAACGAUAUGGGCCUGCGGCAGGUGUUUGCAACUGUGCGCUGUGUAUGAUUGUGUAUGAUACGCCAAUUUUCCUCUAUCCUGGAACGUGGGCUUACGAGGAACCGUUCAAGAAGAUCCUCCGGAAGCUGUACGGCGACGUGUCGGGCUCUACCAGCACAACACGCUAGAGGCCCAGCCGGCACCGGGUGCCCCGAUUGCGUCAGACGGUGUCGAGCGCGCUCGUUAACAACGUUCGGGGCAGGAAUUCAAUCCUUCGGAUCAUUAUCCUCUGCCUCUCAAUAGCUGCAGCAGCAACAGGACCGAACCGACCGCACUACUGAUUGCGGUCAAAUACUGAUUGCGGUCCUGGCAGGAGAAAAAAUCCCACAAGUGUAUCGAACAGGCUACGGACGGACCCCGAAAAGGCCAUUCAUUCCCAACGGCCUAAGAUGUUUUUAGUGUUCAGUGGUGUGCGCGACCGUCAAAGUGUUAACAUUAAAUAUUUGAAUUAACAAGAUAACACUGUUAUGGUUAUGUCGUGUAGAUGUGCGCAAGUGGGUUAAGAUUAGACUUAAGUACGCUUUAAGGCAUCAAUCGAUAUGCCUAAUUUUAAGUUAAGUGUUUUGACAUGCCCGUGUGUGUCAAGGGGCGGAAUAAGCGCUAAGCAAACUAAGCGACCGCGUCGGGCCCCGUGGUCUUGAGGGGCCCCAAAAAAGGAACCCAUCCCCCGCUCGCAAGUUAAAUUGCUACUCAAUCCUUCUCUAGUUUAGAACAUUUCCCUGCUAGACGAUUAAACCAAACUUACAUUUGUGUGACUGCUUAGGGCCUCCACUCGUAUGUGCGGCUUUUACUCAUCAUUUAAGAUAAAUAAAUCUAGAUUAUAUUCUCAUAAA
Anopheles arabiensis is the source of this 1120-nucleotide long non-coding RNA. RefSeq lists it as uncharacterized. Lineage: Eukaryota; Metazoa; Arthropoda; Insecta; Diptera; Culicidae. The transcript has 4 exons. The record is from RefSeq and is a predicted model, not a curated record.